AACUUAAAUAUUUCAAAAGCAAAACAGUGUACUUGCUGGCAAAUUGGAUGUAGAAGGUAAGAGGGACAGAGGUGUUGUGGGUGACUCCAGAUGAAUUCUGUUAGCUGGUUAGAUGAUGGAAACCCUCUUGAGCUUGGAGAACCAAGUCAGGAUCAGUUCAGGGGCAAGGCUGUGACAUUGGUUGCCUUGAGGUAUCCAAGGGAGUCUUCAAAUUCUGAAACGCUGCUGGGAGCAUAACUGAGGCAAGGACUGGAAACUGCUGGAUUUAGCAACUUGGAGAUCAUUGGUAGCCUUGGUUUUUUUUUGGUGGAGCAAAGAGUCAGAUUGGGGUGGUCUGAGGACUGAGUGAGAGGUGAGCAGAUGUUGUCAGUGUGGCUGGACACCAUUUUUGAGACACUUGGCUGCAACAGGGAGGAGAGAGGCUGGGUGCUAGUUGACUGAUGAGGAUGUGGUGAGAGAGGUUGUUUUUUUCUUUAAUGGGAGUACAUUCUUCAUGAAAAUUCAAUGGAAAUAUAGAGCUUGCAUGUUCAAAAGAGAAAAAGGAUCACUGAAAGUAAAGAUUCCUGAGAAGGAGGGGAUGAUGGCAUCCAAAAAUAGGUAAGAGAACUUGCCUCAGAUUGCUUUGAUUGAACUUCUUUAUUAUAGGAGAGGGAAAGGAAGAGAGAAUGCACGUGGAUGUGGGUGGAUUGUAGCUCUGAAUGUGUGACUCUGAAGGACUUUCCAGAUGGUGAUUCCUAUUGUCUAUAUGAAACAUGAGACAUCAUCUAGACAUCACCUGCUGAGACUGAGGGGUGAAUAUGAGUGGAUGUGAGCAUGCAUGUGCAUGCACAAGUGUGUAUGUGUGUGUCUGAGCUCCCAUGCUCAUCCAGAGUUUUAAAAGAAGCCUAGAAGAUUUGACAUAAUAUAGUAUUAAGUAGAAAGUUGAAAUUGAUAGGACCAGGAGUCAGUUCCAAUCCAGAGCCAGGCUUAUGGGCAGGGUAUCAGCAUUUAUCGAAGAGAACAGAGGAGGCUGGGGCUCCUUGAGCGUGGUUUCCAUCUUUUCUCUUGCACCCCACCUGCUCCUUAGGGACAGCAGAUGAGGAGAGAAAAACCUAAGGAUAUACUUAAAAUGUUACUGUGAUAUUUAUAGUGUUGUGAUGAAAAUAGAAAAUCUGUGGAUGUGGCUUAAGUGUGGGGAAAAGAAAUUGAUCACUCAGGGAUCCUGUGCUUCUCUGAAAAGCUGAUCUGUGAAGAAUUCCUUGUUAAGAUGUUAACACAUGGAUAAGUGAUGUAAAUAUUUCAAGACCACAAGUUGAAGGGUUAGGACUUGAAUUAAGAAGGCAAGUUCAUACCUGUAUAUAACAGUGGGAUGUUUUUAAUAAUAUGUGCCAUCUGUUGGAGAGGUAUUACAUACUUAUUGCCAAGAAGAAUCUAACUCCCCGGUCCUGAUGCUUCCAUGAAGAAAUGUUAGCUCUACUCCUUAGGAGGAAACAGCACUGGAGAGACACUGUUGAUUCCAAGCCCCUCCUGCACAGCCCCAAACCCUUGGAGGUGGUUAUUGAAUGGAGCAAGACCUAUGCUUUGACAGUGCAGAUCACAAUCACACUCAUUCAGAAAGAUAUUAAGUAACUUGCUCAAGAAUACGUAGCUUCUGAAAGGGCUACGUUCUCCUGCUGGCAGAACUGGAAAUCCAAGGCCUGUGAGUGCUGUGCUUUCCAGUGAGAUGUCUCCUUAGCCAAGAACAAGGAUAAUGGGGCUUGAGAGUAGAGGAACAACAACAACAAAAAGAAAAUAUGAAUCACCAUGAUGGGACUUCCUCAAAGAGGCACAAGACUCAAGACCAUAUCCUGGGUGGUGAAAAGGUAUGAACUCUGUGGUCAGAAAACUGGGUUCAAAUGUUGCUUCUGGCACUUAGAACUGUGCAAU
Long non-coding RNA from Rhinopithecus roxellana (golden snub-nosed monkey), 1905 nucleotides. RefSeq lists it as uncharacterized. The record is from RefSeq and is a predicted model, not a curated record. The transcript has 3 exons. Lineage: Eukaryota; Metazoa; Chordata; Mammalia; Primates; Cercopithecidae.